RNAcentral lists this unclassified non-coding RNA (239 nucleotides) under Gliocephalotrichum bulbilium. RNAcentral's name for it is "partial contains 5.8S ribosomal RNA, internal transcribed spacer 2, and large subunit ribosomal RNA". The record is from RNAcentral. Lineage: Eukaryota; Fungi; Ascomycota; Sordariomycetes; Hypocreales; Nectriaceae.
CGCACAUUGCGCCCGCCAGUAUUCUGGCGGGCAUGCCUGUUCGAGCGUCAUUUCAACCCUCAAGCCCAGCUUGGUAUUGGACCCGGCCCUGGGGCCCGUCCGCAACCAGUCGGCGGUGCUGUAUAGCCUCAAGCGUAGCAAGAACCUCGCUUUGGGAGCCUGUGGCGGCGCCUGCCAGAGGAACCACUAAAUUUUUCAAGUUUGACCUCGGAUCAGGUAGGGAUACCCGCUGAACUUAA